ACCAAAGUGUUUAGAGUUAAACUAGAAUAAAUUCUAUUCAUACAUGUUGUCAUACACAGUCUGUUUAUGUAUAGUUUAAAUAGUCUGUAUCCGCAGCAGAUGAGAAAGAUGCACCCAAACAAAGUAAACUAAACAGUAUUUGCAUGCUUUUGUUGGCAUGUGGCCUAGCAAGAUUGAGUUUACGUAUUAGAGAAUAAUUCAUUAUCUUCUCACUGGUGUAUUUGUUUCUUUAAUUGUAUGAUUCAAAUUUAGCCCAUUAGUGGCCCAAACAGGUGAUAUUGUGCAUCUGGUUGCUCCAUCGUGUAGUCAUCUUUCGAUGUCCGGAUGCAAUAGACUAUCAUUAGUGAUUACGUCAGUCAUGUCACAAAUCUCACCACCGUUCCCUUCAUGAGUGUCGUGUGCCCCUCGAUGAGGGCACAAACAGCUUCCUAGUACUAGGUGAUUGCACGUACGGUGAGGUACCAACUGCACCUAAGUGGAUGACUGCAGGUGCAAAGAUGUGUGCUGAUGGGCAUGGAAUCGGAGGGUGGAGAAGUGGAGGACAUGCACACAAUUUGAGGUCAUCGAGCAACAACAAAGGGUAGUGGAUAUAUAUGUUACAUUGAGUCAGGGUGUAUAUACUUACGAGACAAUGACCUCGUAGCUAUUAAUCAAGAUCACCACCUAAGAGUUUAAGACAAACUUGUCAUACUAACAUACAAAUGCAUGUAUCAUAAGAAAUAUCUCACCAAUACAAUGGGCAAUUAGCUUGUUGGUCUAGAAUAUAUAUAAGAAAAUAUUAAAUUUACUUGGCGGCUCAAUAGAAACCGCCAAGAAAAUGAAUUAUUUUCUUGGCGGCUCAUUAAAGAAUGGCCAAGGAAAUACCUUGUUUACUUGGCAGCUGAUGACAACAGCCAAGUAAAUGCAUGCUUUUCUUGGCGAUUCCUAAAAACAGCCAAGGAAACCCAUCCUUUUCUUGGCGGUUCG
Molecule: long non-coding RNA, 966 nt
Filed under: Setaria viridis
Lineage: Eukaryota; Viridiplantae; Streptophyta; Magnoliopsida; Poales; Poaceae
Description: long non-coding RNA (SVIR_LNC006540)
Source: RNAcentral